Molecule: non-coding RNA, 87 nt
Filed under: Streptomyces sp. NRRL F-5122
Lineage: Bacteria; Bacillati; Actinomycetota; Actinomycetes; Kitasatosporales; Streptomycetaceae
Description: Streptomyces RNA 6106
Rfam family: Streptomyces RNA 6106
About the family: Identified by deep sequencing of transcriptome at the end of exponential growth phase.
Source: Rfam by way of RNAcentral
ACGCCGCUCCGGCGGCGUCCGUGCUCCUUGAGGGGGGCCAGAACAAGCGGGGGUGGUGCCGUGUCGGCGCAGCACCACCCCCGCGAU